This 429-nucleotide ribosomal RNA is filed under the name Chloroflexota bacterium. RNAcentral's name for it is "Chloroflexi bacterium partial 16S ribosomal RNA". It matches the Rfam family "Bacterial small subunit ribosomal RNA", at positions 355 to 776 of the family's 1533-position model. The record is from RNAcentral. Lineage: Bacteria; Bacillati; Chloroflexota.
UGGGGAAUAUUGCACAAUGGGCGCAAGCCUGAUGCAGCCAUGCCGCGUGUAUGAAGAAGGCCUUCGGGUUGUAAAGUACUUUCAGUCGGGAGGAAGGUGUCAAGGUUAAUAACCUUGGCAAUUGACGUUACCGACAGAAGAAGCACCGGCUAACUCCGUGCCAGCAGCCGCGGUAAUACGGAGGGUGCAAGCGUUAAUCGGAAUUACUGGGCGUAAAGCGCACGCAGGCGGUUGAUUGAGUCAGAUGUGAAAUCCCCGGGCUUAACCCGGGAAUUGCAUCUGAUACUGGUCAGCUAGAGUGUUGUAGAGGGGGGUAGAAUUCAAUGUGUAGCGGUGAAAUGCGUAGAGAUGUGGAGGAAUACCGGUGGCGAAGGCGGCCCCCUGGACAAAGACUGACGCUCAGGUGCGAAAGCGUGGGGAGCAAACAGG